GGACCCGCACAAGCGGUGGAACAUGUGGUUUAAUUCGAAGCAACGCGAAAACCUUACCAGGGCUUGACAUCUAACAAACCUUUGCGAAAGCAGAGGGUGCUCUUCGGAGAAUGUUAAGACAGGUGGUGCACGGUUGUCGUCAGCUCGUGUCGUGAGAUGUUGGGUUAAGUCCCGCAACGAGCGCAACCCCUGUUGUUAGUUGCUGUUAGUGGUUUACUGCUAAUGAGCUCUCUAGCAAGACUGCCGGUGACAAACCGGAGGAAGGUGGGGACGACGUCAAAUCAUCAUGCCCCUUAUGCUCUGGGCUACACACGUGUUACAAUGGCUAGGACAACGAGUCGCCAACUCGCGAGAGUGAGCAAAUCUCUUAAACCUAGUCUCAGUUCGGAUCGCACUCUGCAACUCGAGUGCGUGAAGUCGGAAUCGCUAGUAAACGCAGAUCAGCACGCUG
RNAcentral lists this ribosomal RNA (451 nucleotides) under uncultured cyanobacterium. RNAcentral's name for it is "bacterial SSU rRNA". It matches the Rfam family "Bacterial small subunit ribosomal RNA", at positions 917 to 1359 of the family's 1533-position model. The record is from RNAcentral. Lineage: Bacteria; Bacillati; Cyanobacteriota.